Molecule: long non-coding RNA, 4192 nt
Organism: Falco peregrinus (peregrine falcon)
Lineage: Eukaryota; Metazoa; Chordata; Aves; Falconiformes; Falconidae
Exons: 4
Source: RefSeq, a predicted model, not a curated record
GUCUGCCUGAGAUUAUCAGUAUCAUAGUCAUCUGAACAAAACAAAGAUUUAUUAAAAACACAGACAGAAUAUGAAAUCCAAGUGAAAGAAACAGUUUGCAUAACAAAUCUCAGGAUAUUUUCAUUUCUCAUAAACUGAGCAAGCAUCCCUAGCUACAUGCUUCUGCUACAUCUCCGUUGUUGAAAGUGGCAGUCACCAAUACAGUGCUGGAUCCUGAGUCAAGGAAGAAAAUUAUUUGUCUUACUUUUGAGAUUGUUUUGAUUAUUUUGCUUUACCACUGACAUCAGGAACCAUACAACGCCAGGAAGCUCCUCUGUGACAGUGUCAUGGUUAAAUCUCAGCUGGCAACUGAGUACCAGGCAGCUGCUUGCUCACUCACUCUGCCCCCAAAGGGAUGGGGAGGAGAAUUGGGAAAAAGAUGUCUGCUUCAGGAUGAUGAGAUGAAUUGCAUUUCAAAAGCUCCUGACUCUCUCUGUUGGGGAUAAAAGCAUCCCAGAAUGACUAGGUCAGAUGAAUUUGGUCCUUGUGUCUAUAGAAAUGGAAUUUCAGAAACAAGCAGCAGUAAAACGCAGAAUUGAAGUGAUUGAAAAGUAAAAUCCACUUACUUCAUUAAAUCCAAUACAACCAUCUGAAAAUACCAGAAUAUGUCAUGAGCCUCCCAUAAAGCUUUUCUUAUUAACAAAAAACCUAAAAGCUAAACAAACAACAAAAAAGUUUAUUUUAAUUGUUAUUACUGUAAUAAUUGUAAUUGGAAUUUACUUCAAGCACAAUGGGGGCUAUAAGCUUUCUCACACUGGAAGAGUUCAUAGCUUCAUAGACCGUGAUACCAAAUAUCAUCGAUUCAUUGUGGGAAAAAUAAAAACAUUACUUAGGAAGGGUAAGAGCAGUAUUAGUACAAAAGUUAGAAUACAGUAUUAUAUUUCAAUCUGAGCUAAAAAAUGAAAUAAAAAUAUGUAUCUGAUAUAAACAAAUGUUGAUGGUGCAAUGCAGGAAAAAAGAAAAGUAUAUUACAAAACUUACGUUCAGAGCAUACAGAAAAAUGGAACUGAAAGAGACAGCACUUAAUUUCUGAUCUCAUUCCUCUUAAUCUCUCGCACACAUUCUGAGCAGGAGAUUUAAAAUAUCUGCUUGAGAUUUGGAAGAGGUCUGGUACAUUGUGAUAGAGUGAGCUCCCUGAGUAGGGUUUCAAGAAAACAUUGAAUCCAAACUGGGAAGUUUUCCUGUUUACUGGCUUAUUGUAACCUUGAUUUUCCCAUGAUAUACAUAUGUACCGAUGAAAACGUAAAAUGCUAAUUCUGUUUUUUGUCUGCUCAGCAGACCCUGUCUAUCAUCCAGCUGCUGGACUGCAAGAAGGUACCCUGCUAAUUCAAGCUAGUCCAGAAUCUGAUGGUUCUGAUCCUUCCCGCUAAAAGACAAUUUUUGGUGAAAUACAGUCUACCACUUGACAUCAAGAAGCAGUAAAAAAAAAAAAAGUCCCUGUUGUAUUUGGAAGAUGUUUGAGCAUUUAGAUUAUAAUACCAAGGGGAAAAAAGACAUAUUAACAAUUUCCUGAGCAAAUGUCCUCCAAAGAGAACUGGUUGAAGGCUAAAAAUAGGCAUGUGCUCAGGUAUUUUUAUGACUUGUAUUUGCCAUAUGAGAGAAUUAAAAGUCAAUGGACUGUGGGUCCAUGCAAGACAGCAGAUAAAGGUAUUUCCCUUUUUUCCACAGGGAAGCAUGCCUUGGCAUUAUUCAGCUAUUUAGUGUGAGCGAAAGAAUGGGUGGCAAGCACACGCAUACAUUAAAGGGAUUCAAUUUUUUUAUCAGUCUGUGUAGUCAGCCCAGGAUACAUUGCUACUGGAGGAUGUUGCUGAGGAAGCCGGUUAGAUUUAGAAAAGGAUUAGGCAUUUGUAUGAAUAUGAGUAAUGUCUGCUGUUAGCUGAUGAGGUUAAAGGAAUUAGGAGGGAUAUCCUAAAUCCACCAGCCCCAGGCUGUCAACUAAUCACCAGCUGGACUUGGGAAGGAACCCUCUCGCAGCCUUUUUGGCACAGCACUGCACCUUUGGUGGGGCCAGUGCUGAAGCUUCAGAAGAAUCAUCAAUCUCACGCUGCUCUCUGAGGCAAGAUGCUUGUUCUGGUACAGGAACUCCUCCCGUUACACCUUGCAAUAUAUAUACCUGCUGGGAAGCGCUGCAUCCUCAUCGCUCCCAACUACAUCCCAUCUUACAGUUGUAUGAAGCUUCAUCUUUAACUGAGAAUUGCCAUACAUAAUACAUAUUUUAUCUAUUUUUUCUCUGAAAAUUUUAAAUAAUUAAUGGACCUUUGUAAUAUAGAGACCAGUUAUAAAUCAUCUCAGCUGCACCUACAGAUUGUUGAUGCCAGCAUUCUCAGAUGAAUUACAUCUCUCUGGGGCCAUCUAUUAUUCUAAGUACAAUUCUGAAGAGGAAUUAUGCAUGUAAUAUUCACAAGCAAACAAACAAGUAAUCUCCAUUGUGGAUUUGAUACUAAAGCUUUACAAUCCAAUAGGGUUGAUAUGUUAGUGACAGAGAGUACUAAUUUUCUGCACCAUCGUCAGACAUCCUUUCAUUCAGCUUAAGUACAGACAUAUUUUUCCCUUGGGGAGAACAUGUUGAUGGGAGCGCUAUCUGCUUUUACAAACCCAGCAGUGUAGGUGCUGUAACAUGGAAAUAAAACCCCGCUGCUGUGGUUUGCGAGGCCCAGAGACAGACUGGCACUGCACAUACCUAGAGCUCACUCUUCGUCAUCGUGUGUUGCAGAAAGGAUCCAGAUUCAGAGAUGUAUGUGUAUCACCAGUUUUAUGGUGUUUGAAUAGACACUCCGAUUACAGUCAUUGAAUUACAGUCACCUAUUUCCUUUUCAUUCUAUACUUCAGAAAUAUAAAUGUGUGCGAUAGUCUGUGCCAGGUUCUGGAUAGUUUCCUGCUAAUGGUCACAGCUGCUGAUGCAUGAGAGGAUACAGGCAUGCAGAGAACUAAGAUGAGUUUAUGAAAUGGACUAUAGAAGAAAAUACUUUUAUGACUCCUGAAAUGAUAGUUUGAGAUAUCCAAGUAUCACCUGAAUUUCUCAGAACUAGCCCUUUGGAUGACUUGGACUCAGUGUACCUUUACUUUGUGGUCAGAUGCCUGGUGAUGAGGGAGGGCUUGUGUCAUCGCAGACUGGCACCAAAGGCUACUGAAGAAGUGGCCUUUUCAGAAAAAGCCUGAAGUGACUUGUCCUCCUGCUCAGAGCUCCGAAGCGUAGUAUGAAGAGCUAAAACAAGAUAGAGGUAACUGAAGAGAAAGACCUUUGGGGAGGGAAUGAUUGAAGAAUCCUUACUUUCUGUGAUGAUCAGAGAAUCCUGACUUUCCGUGGCAUCCAGGGGAUGGGAGGUGGUGGAGCGGCUUCUGUUUAAGGCAUUGAAGCAGGUGAUGGAAAAGCAUGGGAAAGAAGACAGAUCCAGUUUUGAGAAUGAUCGGGGCUCAGGAGAAAGAGUAAUAAAACUGCCUCUGUGUGAGAACUGCUGUGUGAGACUGGUGUCCCGGUGCUCCUUCGGACCUGACUGUUUGAGGGGCUGCCUUGACAGGUCCUCUGAAACAGAAGGGGAAACAGAAGCAGUGUCAGAGGAUGGCGCUGGGGAAUACCCUGCCUAGAUGCGCUGGCCAUUAACCACGUCAUACGCAGCUCGUGCCCAGGAGACGUUCAUGUGAGUACAAAGGCUAAUGCCCCCGUACGCUGUGCUUUAACAGCUUGCCAUUUUAGCAGCUCUUGAGCACUGCUGUCUGGGCAGAGGUCAGACACUUCGUUCCCCAGUGAAUGAUGAAUGAUGUACCACAUAUCUAUAGGAUGAUGUACUUACGUUUAUCUAAAAGUUGGGAAACGUCCAAGGACCCUUAUUGCUAACAUGACUGAUGUACUGAUUGCUAAGUCCUUGGAUUUGUCAUCUUUAAAAAGGCUAUCUGGUCCUAAGUUCCUGUUGUCCUGAAAAGUCCCCUUGGUGUGCAUGACUUUGGUGGAGCGAUCCCCCAUGCACCCAGCACUGCCGAAUAAAGAUAACCUCCACUCACUCGAAUAUUGGUGACUGAUUCUUUAAAUCACCAGGAAGAGCUUUCGUAAAGGCUGGAAAAAAAACUUUAUGCCUUACGGACUGCUUCUGGAACCUCUCCAGGAAAGGGAUCUCCACUUUCCCUUUCCGCUGGGCUCUGAGGAGCAGAAGGCAGG